RNAcentral lists this ribosomal RNA (253 nucleotides) under uncultured bacterium. Its description in RNAcentral is "partial 16S ribosomal RNA". It matches the Rfam family "Bacterial small subunit ribosomal RNA", at positions 524 to 776 of the family's 1533-position model. The record is from RNAcentral.
UACGAGGGGGGCGAGCGUUGUUCGGAAUUAUCGGGCGUAAAGGGUGCGUAGGCGGUUCCGCAAGUCCUGUGUGAAAUCUUCGGGCUCAACUCGAAGUCUGCACGGGAAACUGCGGGGCUUGAGUGUGGGAGAGGUGAGUGGAAUUCCCGGUGUAGCGGUGGAAUGCGUAGAUAUCAGGAGGAACACCGGUGGUGUAAACGGCUUUCUGGACCAUAACUGACACUGAGGCACGAAAGCGUGGGUAGCAAACAGG